UAGGGAAUAUUAGUAAUGGGCGAAAGCCUGAACUAGCAACGCCGCGUGUGCGAAGAAGGCCUUCGGAUUGUAAAGCACUUUUUGAGAGGAUGAGGAAGGACGGUACUCUCAGAAUAAGUCUCAGCUAACUACGUGCCAGCAGCCGCGGUAACACGUAGGAGGCAAACGUUAUCCGGAUUUACUGGGCGUAAAGCGCGUGUAGGUGGUUUGGUAAGUAGGGCGUGAAAGCUCCUGGCUCAACUGGGAGAGGACGUUCUAAACUGCCAAGCUUGAGGAUGGUAGAGGGAGGUGGAAUUCCGGGUGUAGCGGUGGGAUGCGCAGAUAUCCGGAGGAACACCAGUGGCGAAGGCGGCCUCCUGGACCACUCCUGACACUCAGACGCGAAAGCUAGGGUAGCAAACGG
RNAcentral lists this ribosomal RNA (403 nucleotides) under uncultured bacterium. RNAcentral's name for it is "bacterial SSU rRNA". It matches the Rfam family "Bacterial small subunit ribosomal RNA", at positions 355 to 775 of the family's 1533-position model. The record is from RNAcentral.